Vespa crabro (European hornet) is the source of this 3147-nucleotide RNA transcript. It is a transcript of the gene named aminopeptidase N-like, with no coding region annotated. The transcript is spliced from 11 exons. NCBI's taxonomy places the organism in Eukaryota, Metazoa, Arthropoda, Insecta, Hymenoptera, Vespidae. The record is from RefSeq and is a predicted model, not a curated record.
GUUUUUCUAUAGUGCGAUUUUAAAGAAUAUCGUAUCGAUUCCUUUUCGCUUCUGACGAUGCAUUUACAUGUCUACACAAUGCGUACAUAAUGGUCACGUGCGUCAUGCGGGCUAUAGGUCAUAUGCGUAAAUAAUGCAUAUAAUUAUAAAUGCUCUCUUCGACACAAGAAUGAGCAUCCCUCCCCUUAUAUAGCAUUUCAUGGUAAUAUUGAUACUUACCAUAUAAGCGUCUUUCAUAUUCUGCACUAUUUUCCAAUUGAUUAGACAGUGUCUUGUUAGAAGGCUAGACGAUCGAACAAUCUCUCGUUAAUUCCGUAAUUAAUUGUGUUCCAAAUUUAUUGAAUUCAAGAAAACGGUCGAAUAGAAUGUUAGAAAAGUUAAUAAAGUUAUUUUUCGUAUUUGUUACCAUCGAAGCAUUUUCCCUUUCAUCGACAAAUCAUAAAAAUGUUACGAUUGAAAGCGAUACGAUUGUUUAUCGAUUACCGACGAAUAUUGUACCAAUACAUUACGAUUUGAAAUUGGAAUCAAAUAUCAUGGUGGGUGAUUUUAAUUUUACCGGUGAAAUAGACAUUAAGAUCGAGGUUCGAGAGCCUACGAAGUUAGUAUUGUUAAAUUGGAAGAAUCUUACGAUAAAUGAAAUGCAGAGCCAUUUGGAAAAGGACAAUGGCGAAUCACUUUCACCGAAGGAGCAUCGUUACGAAUCGUAUAGAGAAAUGUUAACGCUCGUUUUUGACAAAAUCAUCGAUCCUGCUGUUUACACUUUACAUUUGAAAUUCUCAGGCGUUCUUUCGACAGACUUAUAUGGCUUUUUCCGAUCCUCUUACAUUAACGAGAACGGUGAUACAACGUGGUUUGCGGUAACUCAUUUUCAACCUAUAAGUGCACGUCGUGCUUUUCCCUGCUGGGACGAACCAGCAUUUAAAGCAACUUUUAACAUUUCCCUGAAACAUCAUGCCAAUUAUACGGCCCUUUCAAAUAUGCCAGUAUUCGAACGAUCGUUUACUGACGAAAGUAAUAAUACAGUAUGGACUCGUUUCGAGAAGACUCCGAUUAUGGCAACCAAUAUCUUAGCCUUUAUAAUUUCCGACUUCGAACAUAUUUCUAUACCCGAAAGAAACAUUAAGAUUUGGGCAAGGAAAUCAGUCAUUCCAUCGAUAUAUUUUUUACUCGAAGUCAUUCAGAAAAUAGAUGACGAAUUGAACAAAUACAUGCCAAAUUUUAUAAUGGUACCCAAAAUUGAUCAUGUUGCUCUUCCUUAUUAUAGUAGCCAGGGCACGGAAAAUUGGGGUCUUAUCACGUAUAGAGAAAAAUCACUCGUGUAUAAAAAGAACGAAACUACCAUAGAUGAAAUGGAUAGAAUCCUGAUGCUAAUUGCUCAUGAAUUGGCGCAUCAGUGGUUUGGUAAUCUGGUUGGUCCACGCUGGUGGAAAUACAUGUGGAUGAGCGAAGGUUUUGCCGCGUACUUUCAAUAUUACAUAACGGACAAGGCUUUCAAUGACACACGAAUGAUGGAUAAAUUCCUCUUAGAAGCUAUGCAAGAGAUUGCCUUCCACGUGGAUACCUGUCCGGAUCAAUCUCCGAUGAAUAACAAUGUUAGUAGACCUUCGGACAUUCCUUACAUCUAUUCCCUUAUCACUUAUCGUAAAGCACCAAUUGUUUUACGAAUGUUGUCGCAUUGUAUAUCUAAGGAAAUUUUCAAGGCCGGUCUUCUCAAAUAUAUUUCUGAAAAUAAAUACAAUACCACUGUACCAGACGACUUAUGGCGAUCCUUGCAAGUUGUUCUGAACCAGUCAAAUGUGCCACACGAGGAUUUCGAAAUAAAAACGAUGAUGGAUACUUGGACGGAACAAGAAGGAUAUCCUACAAUUGUCGUGAAUCGAGAUUACGAUACCGGUACAGUGCAAGUGCGACAAUUUAGUAGUAAGUCAUCAUCACCAUCUAAUCAAGUGUGUUAUAACAAAUGGUGGGUCCCUUUGAAUUUUGCAACCCAAACUAAUCCUGAUUUUUCAUCCACUUUACCGACACACUGGUUGAAUCCAUCGGAGGAUACGAAGACGAUCAAAAGUUUGCCUACGGAUGGUUGGAUUAUUUUUAAUAUUCAACAAACUGGUUAUUAUCGCGUGCACUACGAUCAAGAAAACUGGAAGAGAAUAGCACGAUAUUUAAAUUCCGAUGAUUACAAGAAUAUACACGUUUUAAAUCGCAUUCAAAUAAUUGAUGAUGCAUUUAACAGCGUAAUGGGAAACGAUAUACCUAUCUCUAUCUUCGGAAUGAUAAUAAAUUAUCUUUCGCAGGAAACCGAUCCAAUAGUGUGGAAAGUUGUGUUUCGUAUAUUUUCACAGAUGAAUUAUUAUAUUGAAACUCCCAGAACUGCCGCUAUUCUCAAGCCAUAUUUACAACGUCUUCUUAAUGAUAAAUUAAAAGAUAUGGAUUACAAUGAUAAUCCGGAAGAAGAUUCUUGGUCGAGAAGAAUGAAACAGAUUAUUAAACAUAUCGCUUGUAAAAUCGACGUUCCUGAAUGUUACGGAAAUGCCACUACUCAAUUAGUUGAAUAUCUUAAAAAUCCAAAAUCAAUAAUUAUACAACCAGAUUCACAAAAAUGGGUUUUCUGUUCUGGAUUACGAAAUGCGAACGAGUCUGUAUGGAAUGGAGUUUUAAAUAAUUACGUGAAAGAUCGAAAAAGACAAUUGUUAACAUAUCUCACGUGCUCGGAGAACCGGACUAUUUUAAAUAACUACUUGGUUAUGACCUUUUCUGAAGAUUCUCCAAUCUCUAAAUCUGAUAUUGAAACUGUAUUAAACGAUAUGAUGAUUAAAUCGGAGAUCAGCUUUGAUACACUGGUGGAUUUCAUUAGCAAGAAUUUAAAUGAAAUAUUUUUUACGUAAUGACAAACGUUCUUUAAAGUUUUAUUUACAAAAAAUAAUCUAACACGGAUUACUACGAGAGAACAACUUAAAAAGAUGAUAGCUAUAUUUGCAUCUAAAGAGAAGCCACUGAAUAAAAUGAUAUAUUAUUUUGAAAGGAAGUUGGUUCAAAUUGAUGAAAUUAUACCAAUCUUUCAAGAGUUCGUUCAAACUGCAGUCAAUUAAUGUAAAACGAUGAUACAAAUUUAACAAAUAAAUCCAUCGAAAUACCUAUCUACCUCAA